Myripristis murdjan (pinecone soldierfish) is the source of this 969-nucleotide long non-coding RNA. RefSeq lists it as uncharacterized. The transcript has 3 exons. The record is from RefSeq and is a predicted model, not a curated record. NCBI's taxonomy places the organism in Eukaryota, Metazoa, Chordata, Actinopteri, Holocentriformes, Holocentridae.
GGCGGAGGCUUACCGCCGAAACAUGUAACGGUCAGGGUUCAACUGCCAGUACAUUUACACACAGUGACCUCAAGGAGCUCUGAGAGAGGCAGGAGACAAGACGACAAGUGUUGUUGAAUGCAAUAGUUUGGAAUUUAAAAAGAGAGGAGUUCAAAUUCAGCUGCAGACCUGGAUUUCAGGAUUGCACCCUGAAAAGAAACCUUGUUCUUCUUGUAAAAUGGCAGCAGCGAAACCUCUAUGAAGACCGCCUGUCUUAUUUUUUAUGAUUGUUUAUUCUUGGGUCAUACUGAAUCAGAUAUAUUAUGUAAGAUAGAUGCUUUUCCAUCAUUUACCUGUUUUUGACUCUUCCUGAUGUCCAUGUCAUCCAUUUUAUAUUCACAUUGUGGGAAAAGUGUUAUUCUGCUCAGAUCUCAAGUUGUAUGAGCAUUGAGCCUUCAGUCCUCUUCUACCACCAAUAUCUGAUUACUUUUGCAGUCCUUGGCUUCCGACAUGAAUCCCCCAGCAUGUGUAGGAUGCCAGAUUCAUAUUUACACAGCAUGGAAGGCACCUGUGCGUCAGUCAACCUGUCAAUCAGCAAGACCAUCCUGGAACAAACGUACAUUUUUGUUGUUGUCAGUGGCACACUUCCAGCUCCUUUCCCCUCCACAUUUGAAGCAGUUUCAGUUUACUCUGAGCCAUUUGGCUUCUCUUUCCUGCAUAAUGAUACACAUGCUGGACACUCUCUGUCUCCCUGUCUCUCACCACCCCCUUCUUUUUGCUCGGUUUCCUCUGCCAUUUGUUUUUUUUCCCUGCAUCAUAAGGUUUUGGAAAACAUCAGACCAUUUGGCGCAGUUCACAUGCUGCUGGCUUGAUUUAGCGCAGUGGUCUGAAACUUUUUUUCUGGCACCUACAUUUUCAAGAGGAUGGCUCUUGACGCCAGGAGGAAAUGCUUUUGUGGGCUACUGUAAAAACCAGUGCAACUAAAAUGUA